GUAAGGAAUAUUGGUCAAUGGAGGCAACUCUGAACCAGCCAUGCCGCGUGCAGGAAGAAGGCCCUAUGGGUCGUAAACUGCUUUUAUACGGGAGAAAACCCAGAUACGUGUAUCUGGUUGAUAGUACUGUAAGAAUAAGGAUCGGCUAACUUCGUGCCAGCAGCCGCGGUAAGACGAAGGAUCCAAGCGUUAUCCGGAUUCAUUGGGUUUAAAGGGUGCGUAGGCGGACUUAUAAGUCAGUGGUGAAAGCCGAUAGCUUAACUAUCGAACUGCCAUUGAUACUGUAGGUCUAGAGUAUAGAUGAUGUUGGCGGAAUAUGACAUGUAGCGGUGAAAUGCAUAGAUAUGUCAUAGAACACCGAUUGCGAAGGCAGCUGACAAAACUAUAACUGACGCUGAUGCACGAAAGUGCGGGGAUCAAACAGGAUUAGAAACCCGUGUAGUCC
Molecule: ribosomal RNA, 445 nt
Filed under: uncultured bacterium
Lineage: Bacteria
Description: bacterial SSU rRNA
Rfam family: Bacterial small subunit ribosomal RNA
Source: RNAcentral